This 212-nucleotide long non-coding RNA is filed under the name Gossypium raimondii (Peruvian cotton). Its description in RNAcentral is "long non-coding RNA (GRAI_LNC008722)". The record is from RNAcentral. Lineage: Eukaryota; Viridiplantae; Streptophyta; Magnoliopsida; Malvales; Malvaceae.
CAAGAUAAUAGUGAAAUGGUAGCAAAUUUGUGAAAAAAAAAAAGAAAUAGCAAGAAAAUAGUAAAAAAUAGAAAGAAAACAAUAAAAAAGUAGCAUAUUUUUUUGCAUAUUCGGGUCUGGCCGGGCUCAGGCAAAAAAAACUUUACCCAAGGCCCAGCCCUUUUUUUUUUUUGCCUAAGCUCAUUUUUCAGGCCUAUAUUUUUACCCAAACC